UAGGGAAUCUUCGGCAAUGGACGAAAGUCUGACCGAGCAACGCCGCGUGAGUGAAGAAGGUUUUCGGAUCGUAAAACUCUGUUGUUAGAGAAGAACAAGGACGUUAGUAACUGAACGUCCCCUGACGGUAUCUAACCAGAAAGCCACGGCUAACUACGUGCCAGCAGCCGCGGUAAUACGUAGGUGGCAAGCGUUGUCCGGAUUUAUUGGGCGUAAAGCGAGCGCAGGCGGUUUCUUAAGUCUGAUGUGAAAGCCCCCGGCUCAACCGGGGAGGGUCAUUGGAAACUGGGAGACUUGAGUGCAGAAGAGGGGAGUGGAAUUCCAUGUGUAGAGGUGAAAUGCGUAGAUAUAUGGAGGAACACCAGUGGCGAAGGCGGCUCUCUGGUCUGUAACUGAAGCUGAGGCUCGAAAGCGUGGGGAGCAAACAGG
Molecule: ribosomal RNA, 429 nt
Filed under: Gemmatimonadota bacterium
Lineage: Bacteria; Pseudomonadati; Gemmatimonadota
Description: Gemmatimonadetes bacterium partial 16S ribosomal RNA
Rfam family: Bacterial small subunit ribosomal RNA
Source: RNAcentral